CACCAUUUAAACCAUAUCUUUUUUAGACUUGGUUUAGUCAUGAAGAUUUGACCCUAUCUUUGUAGAGUCUUCUUUGUAAAGUAUUGACUGUUUGCUAACACAAGUCUUUAGUUGUGACAAUUUGUAUUCAACUUGAAAGACGAGUGUUUGGUAUGUCACUUGUUCAUUUUAAGGAGUAACUUGUGUGCCCCUUUUUCUAAA
Molecule: unclassified non-coding RNA, 201 nt
Filed under: Pyxidiophora arvernensis
Lineage: Eukaryota; Fungi; Ascomycota; Laboulbeniomycetes; Pyxidiophorales; Pyxidiophoraceae
Description: partial internal transcribed spacer 2
Source: RNAcentral